RNAcentral lists this ribosomal RNA (253 nucleotides) under uncultured bacterium. RNAcentral describes it as "partial 16S ribosomal RNA". It matches the Rfam family "Bacterial small subunit ribosomal RNA", at positions 524 to 776 of the family's 1533-position model. The record is from RNAcentral.
UACGUAGGGGGCAAGCGUUGUCCGGAAUCAUUGGGCGUAAAGAGCGCGUAGGCGGCCCAGUAAGUCCGCUCUGAAAGUCAGGGGCUCAACCCCUGGAUGCGGGUGGAUACUGCUGGGCUAGAGUCCGGAAGAGGUGAGUGGAAUUCCUGGUGUAGCGGUGAAAUGCGCAGAUAUCAGGAGGAACACCGGUGGCGAAGGCGGCAUCCUGGACCGAGAUUGACGCUGAGGCGCGAAAGCCAGGGGAGCAAACGGG